Small nucleolar RNA from Panthera pardus (leopard), 115 nucleotides. NCBI's taxonomy places the organism in Eukaryota, Metazoa, Chordata, Mammalia, Carnivora, Felidae. The record is from Ensembl.
AUUCCACAAACAACUCACAAGUGCAGGUAGUGUGGUACAGGAGCAUGUCUUUAGCUAACACCACAAGGGUCUCUGGACCAAUGUGUGGAGUUUGAUGGUAAUUCUUGCUACAAGA